GAUGAACGCUGGCGGCGUGCCUAAUACAUGCAAGUCGAGCGGUAACAGGCUCUCACAGUUUGCUUAAGUUCUGCCCUAGACGUAGUAAAUCCGGCAACGGACGAAUUACGGAUGACAGAUGACAAAACCACAACGAACGGCCGGCUAGCCGGGAAGGGUGGCGGAGUUUAUUAAAGCGAAGUGUGAGAGUGCUGACGAGCGGCGGACGGCUGAGUAACACGUAGGAACGACCCCGAAGUGAGGGAUAAGCACCAGAAAUGGUGUCUAAUACCGCAUAAUGCAGCGGCACCGCAAGGUGACAGUUGUUAAAGAUUUAUCGCUUGAAGAGGAGCUUGCGGC
RNAcentral lists this ribosomal RNA (339 nucleotides) under uncultured bacterium. RNAcentral's name for it is "bacterial SSU rRNA". It matches the Rfam family "Bacterial small subunit ribosomal RNA", at positions 28 to 237 of the family's 1533-position model. The record is from RNAcentral.